AAAGAAGUUAACCUGACCUUCCUUCAAAAGCUGAAUGAGGUUACACAAUCUGCAUUAUGAUGACAGUCUCUGGCUUGAUCUGGGUUUUGAACGUUAUACUGCUUGCAUUCUACGCGCGGAAGUAACCAAGUGGAUCGCGAUAUCUUCAUCAUCCCACGCCUUUGUUCAUCUGGAUGUGGACUCGAAAUUGGUACAUCAUCAUCUGCUUAGGACAACACUAAUGUGAAAUAGACAACAUUAUGAGCUAACGACGACUCGCGCUGAUUUUAUAAGUGCCUCUACUAUUUAAGUUAUAGCCAAUUUUGUCGAAUAUUUAACUUUUAUCAAUCUUGCAAAAUUGAUAGCAAUGUAAUGUAUGUGAUGAGAAAAUCAAUUUUGUGGAAAGACCAAUAUUUUCUGCUUCUACAGAA
RNAcentral lists this unclassified non-coding RNA (410 nucleotides) under Hevea brasiliensis (rubber tree). The record is from RNAcentral. Lineage: Eukaryota; Viridiplantae; Streptophyta; Magnoliopsida; Malpighiales; Euphorbiaceae.